CCAAUAGCGUAUAUUAAAGUUGUUGCAGUUAAAAAGCUCGUAGUUGAAUUUUGGAUUCUGCCAAUUGGUCCAUCUUUUAGAUGAGUACUGGUUGUGUGGGGUCUAUCCGCCUGGUAAUACGUAGUGUCCUUUAUUGGAUGUUGCGGGUAGCCAGGACCUUUACCUUGAAAAAAUUAGAGUGUUUAAAGCAGGCUUAUGCCGGAAUACAUUAGCAUGGAAUAAUAGAAUAGGACGAAGUUGUUUUAUUUUGUUGGUUUCUAGGACAACCGUAAUGAUUAAUAGGGAUAGUUGGGGGCAUUAGUAUUCAAUUGUCAGAGGUGAAAUUCUUGGAUUUAUUGAAGACUAACUACUGCGAAAGCAUUUGCCAAGGAUGUUUUCAUUAAUCAAGAACGAAAGUUAGGGGAUCGAAGACGAUCAGAUACCGUCGUAGUCUUAACCAUAAACUAUGCCGACUAGGGAUCGGGCGAUGUUGUUUCCAUGACUCGCUCGGCACCUUAUG
Molecule: ribosomal RNA, 499 nt
Filed under: uncultured Glomeromycotina
Lineage: Eukaryota; Fungi; Glomeromycota
Description: partial small subunit ribosomal RNA
Rfam family: Eukaryotic small subunit ribosomal RNA
Source: RNAcentral